UUCCCCUUUUGCUUGUUCACUGUGCGGCAUUAUUACAUUUACACCGGUAAUGCUGCGCAUGAAAGAGCGAACGGAA
RNAcentral lists this microRNA precursor (76 nucleotides) under Gallid alphaherpesvirus 2. RNAcentral's name for it is "microRNA mdv1-mir-M1 precursor". Its record names the gene mdv1-mir-M1. The record is from miRBase by way of RNAcentral. Lineage: Duplodnaviria; Heunggongvirae; Peploviricota; Herviviricetes; Herpesvirales; Orthoherpesviridae.